GUUGUCGUGGCCGAGUGGUUAAGGAGAUGGACCAGAAAUCUUUUGGGAUCUUCCCGCGCAGGUUCGAAUCCUGCCGCCAUCG
Molecule: transfer RNA, 82 nt
Filed under: Dreissena polymorpha
Lineage: Eukaryota; Metazoa; Mollusca; Bivalvia; Myida; Dreissenidae
Rfam family: tRNA
About the family: Transfer RNA (tRNA) molecules are approximately 80 nucleotides in length. Their secondary structure includes four short double-helical elements and three loops (D, anti-codon, and T loops).
Source: Rfam by way of RNAcentral